CGCUGGCGGCGUGCCUAAUACAUGCAAGUCGAGCGAAUGGAUUGAGAGCUUGCUCUUAUGAAGUUAGCGGUGGACGGGUGAGUAACACGUGGGUAACCUGCCCAUAAGACUGGGAUAACUCCGGGAAACCGGGGCUAAUACCGGAUAAUAUUUUGAACUGCAUGGUUCGAAAUUGAAAGGCGGCUUCGGCUGUCACUUAUGGAUGGACCCGCGUCGCAUUAGCUAGUUGGUGAGGUAACGGCUCACCAAGGCAACGAUGCGUAGCCGACCUGAGAGGGUGAUCGGCCACACUGGGACUGAGACACGGCCCAGACUCCUACGGGAGGCAGCAGUAGGGAAUCUUCCGCAAUGGACGAAAGUCUGACGGAGCAACGCCGCGUGAGUGAUGAAGGCUUUCGGGUCGUAAAACUCUGUUGUUAGGGAAGAACAAGUGCUAGUUGAAUAAGCUGGCACCUUGACGGUACCUAACCAGAAAGCCACGGCUAACUACGUGCCAGCAGCCGCGGUAAUACGUAGGUGGCAAGCGUUAUCCGGAAUUAUUGGGCGUAAAGCGCGCGCAGGUGGUUUCUUAAGUCUGAUGUGAAAGCCCACGGCUCAACCGUGGAGGGUCAUUGGAAACUGGGAGACUUGAGUGCAGAAGAGGAAAGUGGAAUUCCAUGUGUAGCGGUGAAAUGCGUAGAGAUAUGGAGGAACACCAGUGGCGAAGCGACUUUCUGGUCUGUAACUGACACUGAGGCGCGAAAGCGUGGGAGCAAACAGGAUUAGAUACCCUGGUAGUCCACGCCGUAAACGAUGAGUGCUAAGUGUUAGAGGGUUUCCGCCCUUUAGUGCUGAAGUUAACGCAUUAAGCACUCCGCCUGGGGAGUACGGCCGCAAGGCUGAAACUCAAAGGAAUU
Molecule: ribosomal RNA, 896 nt
Filed under: uncultured Bacillus sp.
Lineage: Bacteria; Bacillati; Bacillota; Bacilli; Caryophanales; Bacillaceae
Description: bacterial SSU rRNA
Rfam family: Bacterial small subunit ribosomal RNA
Source: RNAcentral